This is a long non-coding RNA of Meriones unguiculatus (Mongolian gerbil), 641 nucleotides long. RefSeq lists it as uncharacterized. The record is from RefSeq and is a predicted model, not a curated record. Lineage: Eukaryota; Metazoa; Chordata; Mammalia; Rodentia; Muridae. The transcript is spliced from 3 exons.
CAUGACAGAAAUGACUUUAGGAAGUGUGUGUUUUGUGCCAGGUGCAUAACACUGCUAUACAGUACAUAGUAAUGGCUACUGCAUUGUUCAUAUAGUAAAGGCAAGGUGACCCAAUGCAUAAAGGUCACCCAGAGGCUGGGUGCUGUGGCUGAAACUCAAACCAAGGCAGUCUGGUUGUAGAACCUGUUUUCAUGGCGACACUCCCACAAAGGACAUCUGUCAUCUGCUGGGCUAUAACAUCCCAGCCUUUCUACUACCUGACACGAGGACAUGUGGUUUCUUCAUGGUCAAAGUGUAGACUGAAGCAAGACCUUCCUUCAUCUUCAUGAUUUGAUGGUUGUUCUCACAAGGAGCCGGGUCUGCAUAAUUGUAUCAGUAAUCAGCAGUAAGGCAAUUAGUUGUAAAGAAGAAAAAUGUGCUUUGGAGCUUAGCACAGACCGGUGUUACAAGACGCAGGAAGGCCGAGGAUGGACAUUAACAAGGAAAUCUAGGUCACAGUCACGAUUGACAGAGGAUGGAAUGGAUGACAAACAGACCAAAAAAAUAGACAAUUGCUGGAAUAUUUGAUAAUCUGUAAUAAGCCCAUAGAGAAAUUCCAUAUGAAACUCUGGACCAUAAAGUUGAAGCCCUUAGCAUGAAAA